CCUACGGGAGGCAGCAGUGGGGAAUAUUGGACAAUGGGGGGAACCCUGAUCCAGCGACGCCGCGUGAGUGAAUAAGUAUUUCGGUAUGUAAAGCUCUAUCAGCAGGGAAGAAAGAAAUGACGGUACCUGACUAAGAAGCCUCGGCUAACUACGUGCCAGCAGCCGCGGUUAGACGUCGGGGGCAUGCGUGAUCCGGAUUUACGGGGUGUAAGGGGAGCGUAGAUGGCGAUGCAAGUCUGAAGUCAAGGGCGGGGGGCCAACCUCCGGACUGCUUUGGAAACUGUAUGGCUGGAGUGCAGGAGAGGUAAGUGGAAUUCCUAGUGUAGCGGUGAAAUGCGUAGAUAUUAGGCGGAACACCAGUGGCGAAGGCGGCUUACUGGACUGUAACUGACGUUGAGGCUCGAAAGCGUGGGGAGCAAACAGGAUUAGAUACCCGGGUAGUC
This 443-nucleotide ribosomal RNA is filed under the name uncultured bacterium. Its description in RNAcentral is "partial 16S ribosomal RNA". It matches the Rfam family "Bacterial small subunit ribosomal RNA", at positions 338 to 795 of the family's 1533-position model. The record is from RNAcentral.